AGCGCGGUAGCUCAGCUGGAAGAGCAUUGGAAUGCCAAAGUUCCUGAGGUUCAAGGCUCGGCUGCGUCA
Molecule: non-coding RNA, 69 nt
Organism: Molorchus minor
Lineage: Eukaryota; Metazoa; Arthropoda; Insecta; Coleoptera; Cerambycidae
Source: the annotation of a GenBank genome assembly